RNAcentral lists this ribosomal RNA (254 nucleotides) under uncultured prokaryote. RNAcentral describes it as "partial 16S ribosomal RNA". It matches the Rfam family "Bacterial small subunit ribosomal RNA", at positions 524 to 776 of the family's 1533-position model. The record is from RNAcentral.
UACGAGGGGGGCAAGCGUUGUUCGGAAUUAUUGGGCGUAAAGGGCGCGUAGGCGGUGCGGUAAGUCUGAUGUGAAAUCUCCGGGCUCAACUCGGAGUCUGCAUCAGAAACUGCCGUGCUUGAGUGUGGAAGAGGUGAGUGGAAUUCCCGGUGUAGCGGUGAAAUGCGUAGAUAUCAAGAGGAACACCUGAGGUGAAGACGGGUUGCUGGGCCGACACUGACGCUGAGUGCGCGAAAGCCAGGGGAGCAAACGGG